CGGGACACGUGGUAUCCUGUCUGAAUAUGGGGGGACCAUCCUCCAAGGCUAAAUACUCCUGACUGACCGAUAGUGAACCAGUACCGUGAGGGAAAGGCGAAAAGAACCCCGGCGAGGGGAGUGAAAAAGAACCUGAAACCGUGUACGUACAAGCAGUGGGAGCACGCUUAGGCGUGUGACUGCGUACCUUUUGUAUAAUGGGUCAGCGACUUAUAUUCUGUAGCAAGGUUAACCGAAUAGGGGAGCCGAAGGGAAACCGAGUCUUAACUGGGCGUUAAGUUGCAGGGUAUAGACCCGAAACCCGGUGAUCUAGCCAUGGGCAGGUUGAAGGUUGGGUAACACUAACUGGAGGACCGAACCGACUAAUGUUGAAAAAUUAGCGGAUGACUUGUGGCUGGGGGUGAAAGGCCAAUCAAACCGGGAGAUAGCUGGUUCUCCCCGAAAGCUAUUUAGGUAGCGCCUCGUGAAUUCAUCUCCGGGGGUAGAGCACUGUUUCGGCAAGGGGGUCAUCCCGACUUACCAACCCGAUGCAAACUGCGAAUACCGGAGAAUGUUAUCACGGGAGACACACGGCGGGUGCUAACGUCCGUCGUGAAGAGGGAAACAACCCAGACCGCCAGCUAAGGUCCCAAAGUCAUGGUUAAGUGGGAAACGAUGUGGGAAGGCCCAGACAGCCAGGAUGUUGGCUUAGAAGCAGCCAUCAUUUAAAGAAAGCGUAAUAGCUCACUGGUCGAGUCGGCCUGCGCGGAAGAUGUAACGGGGCUAAACCAUGCACCGAAGCUGCGGCAGCGACGCUGAUGCGUUGUUGGGUAGGGGAGCGUUCUGUAAGCCUGUGAAGGUGUGCUGUGAGGCAUGCUGGAGGUAUCAGAAGUGCGAAUGCUGACAUAAGUAACGAUAAAGCGGGUGAAAAGCCCGCUCGCCGGAAGACCAAGGGUUCCUGUCCAACGUUAAUCGGGGCAGGGUGAGUCGACCCCUAAGGCGAGGCCGAAAGGCGUAGUCGAUGGGAAACAGGUUAAUAUUCCUGUACUUGGUGUUACUGCGAAGGGGGGACGGAGAAGGCUAUGUUGGCCGGGCGACGGUUGUCCCGGUUUAAGCGUGUAGGCUGGUUUUCCAGGCAAAUCCGGAAAAUCAAGGCUGAGGCGUGAUGACGAGGCACUACGGUGCUGAAGCAACAAAUGCCCUGCUUCCAGGAAAAGCCUCUAAGCAUCAGGUAACAUCAAAUCGUACCCCAAACCGACACAGGUGGUCAGGUAGAGAAUACCAAGGCGCUUGAGAGAACUCGGGUGAAGGAACUAGGCAAAAUGGUGCCGUAACUUCGGGAGAAGGCACGCUGAUAUGUAGGUGAAGCGACUUGCUCGUGGAGCUGAAAUCAGUCGAAGAUACCAGCUGGCUGCAACUGUUUAUUAAAAACACAGCACUGUGCAAACACGAAAGUGGACGUAUACGGUGUGACGCCUGCCCGGUGCCGGAAGGUUAAUUGAUGGGGUCAGCGCAAGCGAAGCUCUUGAUCGAAGCCCCGGUAAACGGCGGCCGUAACUAUAACGGUCCUAAGGUAGCGAAAUUCCUUGUCGGGUAAGUUCCGACCUGCACGAAUGGCGUAAUGAUGGCCAGGCUGUCUCCACCCGAGACUCAGUGAAAUUGAACUCGCUGUGAAGAUGCAGUGUACCCGCGGCAAGACGGAAAGACCCCGUGAACCUUUACUAUAGCUUGACACUGAACAUUGAGCCUUGAUGUGUAGGAUAGGUGGGAGGCUUUGAAGUGUGGACGCCAGUCUGCAUGGAGCCGGCCUUGAAAUACCACCCUUUAAUGUUUGAUGUUCUAACGUUGACCCGUGAUCCGGGUUGCGGACAGUGUCUGGUGGGUAGUUUGACUGGGGCGGUCUCCUCCUAAAGAGUAACGGAGGAGCACGAAGGUUGGCUAAUCCUGGUCGGACAUCAGGAGGUUAGUGCAAUGGCAUAAGCCAGCUUGACUGCGAGCGUGACGGCGCGAGCAGGUGCGAAAGCAGGUCAUAGUGAUCCGGUGGUUCUGAAUGGAAGGGCCAUCGCUCAACGGAUAAAAGGUACUCCGGGGAUAACAGGCUGAUACCGCCCAAGAGUUCAUAUCGACGGCGGUGUUUGGCACCUCGAUGUCGGCUCAUCACAUCCUGGGGCUGAAGUAGGUCCCAAG
This 2166-nucleotide ribosomal RNA is filed under the name Escherichia coli. RNAcentral's name for it is "partial 23S ribosomal RNA". It matches the Rfam family "Bacterial large subunit ribosomal RNA", at positions 418 to 2569 of the family's 2925-position model. The record is from RNAcentral. Lineage: Bacteria; Pseudomonadati; Pseudomonadota; Gammaproteobacteria; Enterobacterales; Enterobacteriaceae.